GUCUACGGCCAUGCCACCCUGAACAAGCCCGAUGUCUGAUCUCGGAAGCUAAGCAGGAUCAGGCCUAGUUAGUGCUUGGAUGGGAGACCACCUAAGAAGGCCAGGUGCUGUAGGCA
Molecule: ribosomal RNA, 116 nt
Filed under: Pteropus alecto (black flying fox)
Lineage: Eukaryota; Metazoa; Chordata; Mammalia; Chiroptera; Pteropodidae
Source: RNAcentral